GAUGAACGCUGGCGGCGUGCCUAAUACAUGCAAGUCGAGCGAACGGACGAGAAGCUUGCUUUUCUGAUGUUAGCGGCGGACGGGUGAGUAACACGUGGAUAACCUACCUAUAAGACUGGGAUAACUUCGGGAAACCGGAGCUAAUACCGGAUAAUAUUUUGAACCGCAUGGUUCAAAAGUGAAAGACGGCCUUGCUGUCACUUAUAGAUGGAUCCGCGCUGCAUUAGCUAGUUGGUAAGGUAACGGCUUACCAAGGCAACGAUGCAUAGCCGACCUGAGAGGGUGAUCGGCCACACUGGAACUGAGACACGGUCCAGACUCCUACGGGAGGCAGCAGUAGGGAAUCUUCCGCAAUGGGCGAAAGCCUGACGGAGCAACGCCGCGUGAGUGAUGAAGGUCUUCGGAUCGUAAAACUCUGUUAUUAGGGAAGAACAUAUGUGUAAGUAACUGUGCACAUCUUGACGGUACCUAAUCAGAAAGCCACGGCUAACUACG
RNAcentral lists this ribosomal RNA (495 nucleotides) under uncultured bacterium. RNAcentral's name for it is "partial 16S ribosomal RNA". It matches the Rfam family "Bacterial small subunit ribosomal RNA", at positions 28 to 505 of the family's 1533-position model. The record is from RNAcentral.